AUUUCCUUCAUUUACAUUUCAAAUGCUAUCCCAAAAGUCCCCCAGACCCUCCUGCAGAGAAAGAGAGCAAACCUGAUCAACAGCCCUAGAUGGUAACCCAGUCAUUCCAUCAAGGACCUCCAUACAUCCUUGGCAACAUCUGUACAUCAGUGUUUAGUGCCCUCUGGUGUUUGCAAAGAGACAGUGUACUACUGUCUGGUUUUGCGUGUCAACUUGCCACAAGCUGGAGUUAUCAGAAAGGAGCCUGCAUUGAGAAAAUGCCCCCAUGAGAUCCAGCUAUAAGGCUUCAGUUUUCCCAUCUGUAUGCUGAACGCAGCUCCUCACUCAGGAACUCGGACUCUCGUUGAGGUAGCAGAGAUACUGACACAUGUCAAACAACAGCCCCUGAGGUUCUAACCUAUAGGUUAAUGUGGUUAAGGUAGAGUUGGG
This 429-nucleotide long non-coding RNA is filed under the name Mus spicilegus (steppe mouse). Its description in RNAcentral is "lncRNA (ENSMSIG00000018462.1)". The record is from RNAcentral. Lineage: Eukaryota; Metazoa; Chordata; Mammalia; Rodentia; Muridae.